GUGAACCAAAUUGAUUGCCUUUUCCAAGUCUUCCAAUAUGGAGGCUUCAGAACCACGAAAUUUCAUACAAAAUCCCAAAGAUUCUAAAACUGCUGCUAAGCCAGCAUCAGAGGCAUCCAGACCUGCAGGAUAUUGUAGAGCAGCAGAAAUACGGCAUAUAGAUGGAAUUGCAGAUGGAUCUCUUGCACCAGCCCUAGCCGUCAAUAUAGCAGCAUUCUUUUCAGCAGCAGCAACAACUUCUGGUCCAGUAGAUCCACCGACACCCAUAGAUUCCAAUAGUGCCUGGGGUGUUGAUGGAAGC
Molecule: unclassified non-coding RNA, 301 nt
Filed under: Hevea brasiliensis (rubber tree)
Lineage: Eukaryota; Viridiplantae; Streptophyta; Magnoliopsida; Malpighiales; Euphorbiaceae
Source: RNAcentral